Molecule: ribosomal RNA, 1452 nt
Filed under: uncultured Nitrospina sp.
Lineage: Bacteria; Pseudomonadati; Nitrospinota; Nitrospinia; Nitrospinales; Nitrospinaceae
Description: bacterial SSU rRNA
Rfam family: Bacterial small subunit ribosomal RNA
Source: RNAcentral
AGAGUUUGAUCCUGGCUCAGAACGAACGCUGGCGGUGUGCUUAACACAUGCAAGUCGAACGAGAAAGUUUCCUUCGGGAAGCGAGUAAAGUGGCGCAAGGGUGAGUAACACGUGAAUAAUCUACCCCCGAGACUGGGAUAACCUGGUGAAAACUAGGCUAAUACCGGAUAAGACCACGUCCCGCAAGGGAUGCGGGAAAAGGAGGCUCAACCUCCACUUGGAGAUGAGUUCGCGGACCAUUAGCUUGUUGGUGAGAUAACAGCUCACCAAGGCUACGAUGGAUAGCCGGCCUGAGAGGGUGAACGGCCACACUGGAACUGAGACACGGUCCAGACUCCUACGGGAGGCAGCAGUGGGGAAUAUUGCGCAAUGGGCGAAAGCCUGACGCAGCAACACCGCGUGAGCGAUGAAGGCCUUAGGGUUGUAAAGCUCUGUCAAAUGGGAAGAAUUCUGACGGUACCAUUAGAGGAAGCCCCGGCUAACUCUGUGCCAGCAGCCGCGUAUACCGAAGGGGCAAGCGUGUCGACUAAUCGGCGUAAAGCGUAUGUAGCGCGAGUAAGUCAGGCGUGUAGCCGUGCUCAACCACGGAAUUGCGUCUGAACUACUCGGCUUGAGUGCAGGAGAGGAAAGCGGAAUUCCCAGUGUAGCGGUGAAAUGCAUUGAUAUUGGGAAGAACAUCUGUGGCGAAAGCGGCUUUCUGGCCUGCUACUGACGCUGAGAUACGAAAGCCAAGGUAGCGAACGGGAUUAGAUACCCCGGUAGUCUUGGCUGUAAACGAUGGGCACUAGGUGCUGGGGGUAUCGAUCCCCUCUGUGCCGCAGCUAACGCAUUAAGUGCCCCGCCUGGGGAGUACGGUCGCAAGGCUGAAACUCAAAGGAAUUGACGGGGGCCCGCACAAGCGUGAGCAUGUAUUAAUUCGACGCACGCGAGACCUACUGGCUGACAUGCACGGCAAGCAUAGAAAUAUGCCCUCAUGGGUCGUGUGCAGUGCUGCAUGCCUGUCGUCAGCUCGUGUCGUGAGAUGUUGGGUUAAGUCCCGCAACGAGCGCAACCCUCGCCUUUAGUUGCCAGCGGGUAAUGCCGGGAACUCUAGAGGGACUGCCGGUGAUAAACCGGAGGAAGGUGGGGAUGACGUCAAGUCCUCAUGGCCCUUAUGCCAGGGCUACACACGUGCUACAAUGGUCGGUACAAAGAGUCGCAAUACCGCGAGGUGGAGCUAAUCUCAUAAAGCCGAUCUCAGUUCGGAUUGAAGUCUGCAACUCGACUUCAUGAAGUUGGAAUCGCUAGUAAUCGUGAAUCAGCAUGCCACGGUGAAUACGUUCCCGGGCCUUGUACACACCGCCCGUCACACCACGAAAGCUGAUUGUACCGGAAGUCAGGAUGCCAACCCGUAAGGGGGGCUACUGCCUAUGGUAUGGUUAGUGAUCAGGGUGAAGUCGUAACAAGGUAACC